Molecule: non-coding RNA, 130 nt
Organism: Pelobates cultripes (western spadefoot toad)
Lineage: Eukaryota; Metazoa; Chordata; Amphibia; Anura; Pelobatidae
Source: the annotation of a GenBank genome assembly
GUUUCUGUGAGUGUGAGUGUGUGUGUCUGUGAAUAUAUAUAUAUACGUAUAUAUAUAUAUGUAUAUAUAUGUGUAUAUAUAUGUAUAUAUAUAUACACACACACACACACACACACACACGCGCGGCGUG